RNAcentral lists this ribosomal RNA (495 nucleotides) under uncultured bacterium. RNAcentral's name for it is "partial 16S ribosomal RNA". It matches the Rfam family "Bacterial small subunit ribosomal RNA", at positions 28 to 507 of the family's 1533-position model. The record is from RNAcentral.
GACGAACGCUGGCGGCGUGCCUAAUACAUGCAAGUAGAACGCUGAAGGAGGAGCUUGCUUCUCUGGAUGAGUUGCGAACGGGUGAGUAACGCGUAGGUAACCUGCCUGGUAGCGGGGGAUAACUAUUGGAAACGAUAGCUAAUACCGCACAAUAGCAGUUGUUGCAUGACAACUGUUUGAAAGGUGCAAUUGCACCACUACCAGAUGGACCUGCGUUGUAUUAGCUAGUUGGUGGGGUAACGGCUCACCAAGGCGACGAUACAUAGCCGACCUGAGAGGGGGAGCGGCCACGCUGGGACUGGGACACGGCCCAGACUCCUACGGGAGGCAGCAGUAGGGAAUCUUCGGCAAUGGACGGAAGUCUGACCGAGCAACGCCGCGUGAGUGAAGAAGGUUGUCGGAUCGUAAAGCUCUGUUGUAAGAGAAGAACGAGUGUGAGAGUGGAAAGUUCACACUGUGACGGUAUCUUACCAGAAAGGGACGGCUAACUACGUG